This 570-nucleotide ribosomal RNA is filed under the name uncultured Enterobacter sp. Its description in RNAcentral is "bacterial SSU rRNA". It matches the Rfam family "Bacterial small subunit ribosomal RNA", at positions 8 to 567 of the family's 1533-position model. The record is from RNAcentral. Lineage: Bacteria; Pseudomonadati; Pseudomonadota; Gammaproteobacteria; Enterobacterales; Enterobacteriaceae.
AGAGUUUGAUCUUGUCUCAUAUUGAACGCUGGCGGCAGGCCUAACACAUGCAAGUCGGACGGUAGCACAGAGGAGCUUGCUCCUUGGGUGACGAGUGGCGGACGGGUGAGUAAUGUCUGGGAAACUGCCUGAUGGAGGGGGAUAACUACUGGAAACGGUAGCUAAUACCGCAUAACCUCGCAAGAGCAAAGUGGGGGACCUUCGGGCCUCACGCCAUCGGAUGUGCCCAGAUGGGAUUAGCUAGUAGGUGGGGUAACGGCUCACCUAGGCGACGAUCCCUAGCUGGUCUGAGAGGAUGACCAGCCACACUGGAACUGAGACACGGUCCAGACUCCUACGGGAGGCAGCAGUGGGGAAUAUUGCACAAUGGGCGCAAGCCUGAUGCAGGCAUGCCGCGUGUAUGAAGAAGGCCUUCGGGUUGUAAAGUACUUUCAGCGGGGAGGAAGGCGGUGAGGUUAAUAACCUCACCGAUUGACUUUACCCGCAGAAGAAGCACCGGCUAACUCCGUGCCAGCAUUCGCUGUAAUACGGAGGGUGCAAGCUUUAAUCGGAAUUACUGGGCCUUGACGU